UGGGGAAUAUUGCACAAUGGGCGCAAGCCUGAUGCAGCCAUGCCGCGUGUAUGAAGAAGGCCUUCGGGUUGUAAAGUACUUUCAGUCGGGAGGAAGGUGGUAAGGUUAAUAACCUUAUCAAUUGACGUUACCGACAGAAGAAGCACCGGCUAACUCCGUGCCAGCAGCCGCGGUAAUACGGAGGGUGCAAGCGUUAAUCGGAAUUACUGGGCGUAAAGCGCACGCAGGCGGUUGAUUGAGUCAGAUGUGAAAUCCCCGGGCUUAACCCGGGAAUUGCAUCUGAUAAUGGUCAGCUAGAGUCUUGUAGAGGGGGGUAGAAUUCCAUGUGUAGCGGUGAAAUGAGUAGAGAUGUGGAGGAAUACCGGUGGCGAAGGCGGCCCCCUGGACAAAGACUGACGCUCAGGUGCGAAAGCGUGGGGAGCAAACAGG
Molecule: ribosomal RNA, 429 nt
Filed under: Chloroflexota bacterium
Lineage: Bacteria; Bacillati; Chloroflexota
Description: Chloroflexi bacterium partial 16S ribosomal RNA
Rfam family: Bacterial small subunit ribosomal RNA
Source: RNAcentral